CCUACGGGGGGCAGCAGUGGGGAAUAUUGGGCAAUGGGCGCAAGCCUGACCCAGCAACGCCGCGUGAAGGAAGAAGGCUUUCGGGUUGUAAACUUCUUUUCUCAGGGACGAAGAAAGUGACGGUACCUGAGGGAUAAGCCACGGCUAACUACGUGCCAGCAGCCGCGGUAAUACGUAGGUGGCAAGCGUUAUCCGGAUUUAUUGGGUGUAAAGGGCGUGUAGGCGGGAGCGCAAGUCAGAUGUGAAAACUCAGGGCUCAACCCUGAGCCUGCAUUUGAAACUGUGUUUCUUGAGUGCUGGAGAGGCAAUCGGAAUUCCGUGUGUAGCGGUGAAAUGCGUAGAUAUACGGAGGAACACCAGUGGCGAAGGCGGAUUGCUGGACAGUAACUGACGCUGAGGCGCGAAAGCGUGGGGAGCAAACAGGAUUAGAUACCCGAGUAGUC
This 443-nucleotide ribosomal RNA is filed under the name uncultured bacterium. RNAcentral describes it as "partial 16S ribosomal RNA". It matches the Rfam family "Bacterial small subunit ribosomal RNA", at positions 338 to 795 of the family's 1533-position model. The record is from RNAcentral.